RNAcentral lists this ribosomal RNA (342 nucleotides) under uncultured bacterium. RNAcentral's name for it is "bacterial SSU rRNA". It matches the Rfam family "Bacterial small subunit ribosomal RNA", at positions 917 to 1269 of the family's 1533-position model. The record is from RNAcentral.
GGACCCGCACAAGCGGUGGAGUAUGUGGUUUAAUUCGAUGCAACACGAAGAACCUUACCAGGGUUUGAAAUCAUUUCAAAACUCCUUGAAAGAGGAGCCUCCUUCGGGAUGAAAUGACAGGUGGUGCAUGGCUGUCGUCAGCUCGUGUUGUGAAAUGUCGAGUUAAGUCUCGUAACGAGCGCAACCCAUGUCUCUUGUUGCUCACUGAGUGCUUAAGAGAGACUGCCGACCAACAUCGGAGGAAGGUGUGGAUGAUGUCAAGUCAGCAUGCCCCUUACAUCCUGGGCUACACACGUACUACAAUGGUAGGGACAAUGAGCUGCGAUCCUGCGAAACCAAGCG